AUGCAAGUCGAACGGCAGCACGGACUUCGGUCUGGUGGCGAGUGGCGAACGGGUGAGUAACAUAUCGGAACGUAUCCAAUAAUGGGGGAUAACUAAUCGAAAGGUUGGCUAAUACCGCAUACGCCCUACGGGGGAAAGCAGGGGAUCUUCGGACCUUGCGUUAAUGGAGCGGCCGAUAUCUGAUUAGCUAGUUGGUGGGGUAAAGGCCCACCAAGGCGACGAUCAGUAGCUGGUCUGAGAGGACGACCAGCCACACUGGAACUGAGACACGGUCCAGACUCCUACGGGAGGCAGCAGUGGGGAAUUUUGGACAAUGGGCGCAAGCCUGAUCCAGCCAUUCCGCGUGAGUGAAGAAGGCCUUCGGGUUGUAAAGCUCUUUCGCAAGGGAAGAAACGUUACCGGUGAAUAUCCGGUGAUAAUGACGGUACCUUGAUAAGAAGCACCGGCUAACUACGUGCCAGCAGCCGCGGUAAUACGUAGGGUGCGAGCGUUAAUCGGAAUUACUGGGCGUAAAGCGUGCGCAGGCGGUUUUGUAAGUCAGAUGUGAAAUCCCCGAGCUCAACUUGGGAACUGCGUUUGAAACUACAAGACUAGAAUAGGUCAGAGGGGGGUAGAAUUCCACGUGUAGCAGUGAAAUGCGUAGAGAUGUGGAGGAAUAUCAAUGGCGAAGGCAGCCCCCUGGGAUCAUAUUGACGCUCAUGCACGAAAGCGUGGGGAGCAAACAGGAUUAGAUA
RNAcentral lists this ribosomal RNA (734 nucleotides) under uncultured beta proteobacterium. RNAcentral's name for it is "bacterial SSU rRNA". It matches the Rfam family "Bacterial small subunit ribosomal RNA", at positions 55 to 784 of the family's 1533-position model. Lineage: Bacteria; Pseudomonadati; Pseudomonadota; Betaproteobacteria. The record is from RNAcentral.